GUAAUUAGUAAUUUUUGAAUUUAUAGUGGUACCCCAAGAACCUGUUGAUGACUGCGGACCUUAUGGUUGUGGGCUCAAAUCCAACCCAGUGGUACCCCUAGAUGAUGAGGACUGCAGAUCCGAUGGUUGCCGGUUCAAAUCCCCCGCAGCUGACCAACAAGAUAUGAGUUUUCAACCACAUAAAAUUUUUACGAGAAGGAACAAGGUGUAAUUCCUCCUGUGUUAGAAUUCCAACAAAUGAUUAUUGCAGGAACUGUUGGAAAGUUGGCUAAUUCAUACUAAUGUAUUAGUGAUAAUAUACAACAACAUAUAUCUAGUGUUAAUGAUGCUAUUUAUACACAUUCAUAUUAAUGUGUCUAAUAAAAAUUUAUGUUAAAUUAAA
Non-coding RNA from Parasteatoda tepidariorum (common house spider), 382 nucleotides. The record is from RefSeq and is a predicted model, not a curated record. NCBI's taxonomy places the organism in Eukaryota, Metazoa, Arthropoda, Arachnida, Araneae, Theridiidae.